GAAAAAAGAACAAUUGUACUUGAUGGACAACAAUGGAUGUAGGCUAGCAAAAUAGACGUGAUCUAUUUUCGCCUUUUUAAAAUAUCUUCAGAAUUGUACACUCACUCACCAUAUUACUCUUCUGAUCUCCAUAGAGGAUUAUGUUUGUGAGCAUGUUAAUUGCAGUCUUCUAUUUAUGAAGUAGCCAUUCAUUGGUCCAUGUUUUGCUGAUCGACUCAGACAAAGUAUACAGUUUGCUUGAAUUUAUACUGUGAUAUGAAGCCAGGAUAAGUUUUAAUCAAUGGCAAUUAAAAGUUUUGUUUGAAUUGCUGAAGAUCUGAAGAAUCCACUCACCCAGAGAUCUUUUUAGUUGGUAUGUAUACAUGUCUAAUUUCUGAAGGUUUGAGUAUAUUGGACAAGACUAACACUUGGUGUGUGCUUCCUACCGAUGCUGACUGGGCAGAUCUGAUAUUGUUUGCAACUGGUGUCUAAGUUAAUAUGCAGUCUUUCCAGUGAUUUUGGAUAUGCAUAGAGAUUGCUUUAGUGAGCAUGGACACAUAUUUCUUAGUUACUACCUUCCCGUGCUCGCAAACCUUACCCGCCUCAUUUCUUAAUAGAUUGAUGAACAUCAAGUUCCCAGCCUGGUCCUUUUCUCCGUUGAAUAAAUGGAGAACAAAAAAAUGAAGUUUUUGUCUGCCAAAUGGUCAUUUGGCUACACCAUUUAUUCAGGUUAUGAGCCUGCUGAAACGGAUGUUAGCUACUGGUUAGGAAAGAAUUAGUUCUUGGUCGUUUUCUGGCCUUGCGUAGUUCAACUGUUUCCACUGUUCCCUUUUGUUUUGGGGUGUUGGCCAGUCAUUUCUUUGUCGUACUUUGGCGCUUUGGCCCUUCUGUUAUUCUAUGAAGUUUACAUGCAGCUCUCCAGUAUGGUUUCAGAUUAUCCUGGUUCCAGGUUAAGAUUGUUUGUAGAGUAAUCAUACAUCAAUAGUGUAUGUGCGGUCUGUAUAAAAUGGAUAGGCGUAGGUUUUCUUAACCAACUUGCUGCGCAUUAUUGGUUCCAGGUGAAAUAUAUUUUUCCUGCAUCUUACACCAAGGGAGAUUCAGGGGAAAAAGUGAGGUGCAUAACUAUAACAACAAGUCAGGCAAGAUACCGGUGGUGUAGGCUUCAACAUUCAGUCGUUGUGGCCACAAUGCACUUUUAUUUCAUAAUAUACCCUGCAUGUUUUAUAUUUGAGAGGGAAUUAGAUUUAGCCUAGCCGUGCCAUCCAUCCCAGAUGCUAAUAAAUUGUGUAACUACCUAAGUUCCUUUUUGACUGCAGAAAUAGCAUCGACUGCAAACAUGGAGUAUGUUUUACAUGUUUUUUUGUUGUUGAAAAAAGUAUGCUUUUCAUCUUAACCAUACACUCGACAAAAAAUGCUAUUUUGCCAAAGAAUUUCUUGUUAGCUGUGGUAUUUAAGCUCAGAGUUACUAACUCAAUGAGGUGUAUUAUAAAUUUGGAGGUACUCAUUUUUUUCCACAUACAGAAAUGUAUUUGACACCUCUGAGCAUCUACGGAUCUUGCAAUUGGUAGAUAGCAUUUGCCUUUUAAAAAUUUUCUUUGAGACCAUGUGAGUCCGAAGAUAAAUUGUUUAAUAGUGAAUGUUGUUAUAUUUAUGCAAGUUGGAUGCUAUGGUGGCGAUGGUGGUCGGGGGCUCCGAUGCGGAGGCCCGCAAGGGGGAAACGGAAGGUGGCGGAGAAGGGAAGGUCAUGGCCGGGAAGCAAGUUAGGCGCCACCGUAUGGACAGGAAAGAGGGCGCUCGGAGGUACCUAGGAAAUCGGGAGGGGCUGAGCAAGACGGCCAAGGGUGUCGCCAAGGUUUUCGGCGUCUAGCCGUCCACUCCUUGAGGUAUAUUCCUGUUUUUUUACAUGAACCACCAUCUCCAAAUCUCCAUGUCCACGCCCAUAGUUUUGAUCCAUUUCACUAUUUUGAUCCAUGGCCUCCAUGUUGUUCAUCUCCCAACUGCUGAAUGGAUGUGCCUUGAUCUACCUCUCGACUAGAACCACAAUUAGUCAUUGGGUCAAUCACAGAACCUAUCAGCAGGACAUUAUUUCCUCUACCUGUACUUGACGUGUUAGUUGUAAUGCAAAUUAGGAUCAACACUAAUACAGUAUCUAUGUGAUUAAUUCUAGAAUUUGUAUACUGAUUUUGCAGGAUCAUUUUGACAGUAUAUUAUUUCUAUUUAACUCUUUAAUGUCUUGGUGUACAUCUUUGUUUUCAUUCUCUAUAGUGGGCAACAAUAUGCUCUGUGUGCAUAAACACUUAUAAAUUUGAGUUGGUACGUUGUGUUUCAG
RNAcentral lists this long non-coding RNA (2308 nucleotides) under Triticum aestivum (bread wheat). Its description in RNAcentral is "long non-coding RNA (TAES_LNC016481)". The record is from RNAcentral. Lineage: Eukaryota; Viridiplantae; Streptophyta; Magnoliopsida; Poales; Poaceae.